Molecule: long non-coding RNA, 338 nt
Organism: Notothenia coriiceps (black rockcod)
Lineage: Eukaryota; Metazoa; Chordata; Actinopteri; Perciformes; Nototheniidae
Exons: 2
Source: RefSeq, a predicted model, not a curated record
UUGUCAGACCUCGGCCGACCAGAGAUGUCCACCAUGGGACGGGUGGUGAUCGUCACUCCGUCAGAGAAGGACGGUAUGAGAAGACCUCCCACGAGAGGAAGGAGGGAGGGAAGGAAUGAAGCUCUGGAGGAGGGGGGGGGGACGGAGAGGAUGAGAGCAUGGAGACCCAGGAGUGAACUUCUACCACAAACAGCCUCCUCAGACGUGGAGACGCAGUAACCUGGACACAAACACCAGCAGGAAAAUGUUCCCACUCCCUGGCCUCAUUUUUUGUGUCUGUUUUUACUUUCCUUUUGUUACUGUAACAACUUGAAUUAAACACAUUUUGUUUUUAUUUA